Long non-coding RNA from Rhagoletis zephyria (snowberry fruit fly), 101 nucleotides. RefSeq lists it as uncharacterized. The record is from RefSeq and is a predicted model, not a curated record. NCBI's taxonomy places the organism in Eukaryota, Metazoa, Arthropoda, Insecta, Diptera, Tephritidae.
CUACAAGAGCGUUUCAAGCUAUGUUCAAACAGGCCAAUUAGCUGAGGCAAUUAAGCUUUAAAUUGCGGUAUUGAGUUUGGUGUUUACACAUACGUCAGCUG